GACGAACGCUGGCGGCGUGCCUAAUACAUGCAAGUUGAGCGAUGAAGAUUGGUGCUUGCACCAAUUUGAAGAGCAGCGAACGGGUGAGUAACGCGUGGGGAAUCUGCCUUUGAGCGGGGGACAACAUUUGGAAACGAAUGCUAAUACCGCAUAACAACUUUAAACAUAAGUUUUAAGUUUGAAAGAUGCAAUUGCAUCACUCAAAGAUGAUCCCGCGUUGUAUUAGCUAGUUGGUGAGGUAAAGGCUCACCAGGGCGAUGAUACAUAGCCGACCUGAGAGGGUGAUCGGCCACAUUGGGACUGAGACACGGCCCAAACUCCUACGGGAGGCAGCAGUAGGGAAUCUUCGGCAAUGGACGAAAGUCUGACCGAGCAACGCCGCGUGAGUGAAGAAGGUUUUCGGAUCGUAAAACUCUGUUGGUAGAGAAGAACGUUGGUGAGAGUGGAAAGCUCAUCAAGUGACGGUAACUACCCAGAAAGGGACGGCUAACUACGUG
This 497-nucleotide ribosomal RNA is filed under the name uncultured bacterium. Its description in RNAcentral is "partial 16S ribosomal RNA". It matches the Rfam family "Bacterial small subunit ribosomal RNA", at positions 28 to 507 of the family's 1533-position model. The record is from RNAcentral.